AAAGCAGAAUUUACAAAUAGCAUUCUGUUCCUUGUAGUACAUCUUUCAAAAGAUAUCUUCAUCAAGCAGAUAACAU
Choloepus hoffmanni (Hoffmann's two-fingered sloth) is the source of this 76-nucleotide non-coding RNA. Lineage: Eukaryota; Metazoa; Chordata; Mammalia; Pilosa; Megalonychidae. The record is from Rfam.